AGUGAACGCUGGCGGUAGGCCUAAUACAUGCAAGUCGAACGGCAGCACAGUAAGAGCUUGCUCUUACGGGUGGCGAGUGGCGGACGGGUGAGGAAUACAUCGGCAUCUACUUUUUCGUGGGGGAUAACGUAGGGAAACUUACGCUAAUACCGCAUACGACCUACGGGUGAAAGCAGGGGAUCUUCGGACCUUGCGCGAUUGAAUGAGCCGAUGUCGGAUUAGCUAGUUGGCGGGGUAAAGGCCCACCAAGGCGACGAUCCGUAGCUGGUCUGAGAGGAUGAUCAGCCACACUGGAACUGAGACACGGUCCAGACUCCUACGGGAGGCAGCAGUAGGGAAUAUUGGACAAUGGGCGCAAGCCUGAUCCAGCCAUACCGCGUGGGUGAAGAAGGCCUUCGGGUUGUAAAGCCCUUUUGUUAGGAAAGAAAAGCAGCAUGUUAAUACCCCGCUGUUCUGACGGUACCCAAAGAAAAAGCACCGGCUAACUUCGUG
Molecule: ribosomal RNA, 492 nt
Filed under: uncultured bacterium
Lineage: Bacteria
Description: partial 16S ribosomal RNA
Rfam family: Bacterial small subunit ribosomal RNA
Source: RNAcentral